GACGAACCGUGCGAACGUUGUUCGGAUUCACUGGGCUUAAAGGGCGCGUAGGCGGGCGGUCAAGUCGGGGGUGAAAUCUCCUGGCUCAACUGGGAGGGUGCGGCGGAGACUGCCAGACUGGAGGCACUCAGAGGCCGGUGGAAUUCCCGGUGUAGUGGUGAAAUGCGUAGAGAUCGGGAGGAACACCAGUGGCGAAGGCGGCCGGCUGGGGGUGACCUGACGCUGAGGCACGAAAGCGUGGGGAGCAAACAGG
Molecule: ribosomal RNA, 253 nt
Filed under: uncultured bacterium
Lineage: Bacteria
Description: partial 16S ribosomal RNA
Rfam family: Bacterial small subunit ribosomal RNA
Source: RNAcentral